AUGGAGUGUACUGUCUGAAACAUUGAGCCCACCUGUUCUUCUUGGAACCCAAAUUCACUCAUCGGAGAUCUACCUAAAUCAUUAUGUUGCCAAGCUUCAAAGGAUCGAUGAGGGUCUUGAAGAGGGUCAGAACACUCCAAGCGGACCACCUUGCUUUCAAGAUGGUAGAGAUUGAACUGAAACGGUCAAAUGAGAACAGCUGCCUCAAACCAUCAGGAGAAGACUGGUUGGAUGCUUCAGACUACCCGAAAAGGAAUUCAUUAAGUUGCCAUGCUAAACAGGGUUGGCUGCUGCUAGCACAGACGAUGAAAGCAUGCCAACAAAAGAACACAUCGGUGAAGGUUCUACAAGAUAGAUUGUCCUGACAUUGUGAGGUUGCCACGCACGACGUCCUUAAACAGGGUUGCCUGCUGCUAGCAGUGAUGAUGGUGAAGGGUCUACAACAUUGAUUACCGUGACUCCAUUGAAGGUAUGUGCACAUUCAAUGAACCUUUGUGAUUUUAUUACAGUUUUAUUUUUCUCAAGCCACAACUGUGCCAUCUCUGAAAGGCAAAAUGUUUAAUCCCUCAAAACCUGCUAAGCUGAAUAAAUUUUCAAGUCGCUACAAGUUCACCACCCAAUGAUUGUGCAACCUUGUGAACAUAUCAAUGGAUGGUCCCGCCUUUCAAAAUCUAAUCAAACUCGCUACUCUGAAAUUUGUAUUCUCACUUAAUACUGGAUGCCUUUGAUAAUUUGUCAAAACUCCUGUUGUCCAGUUUUGUGGCA
This is a long non-coding RNA of Asterias rubens (European starfish), 765 nucleotides long. RefSeq lists it as uncharacterized. NCBI's taxonomy places the organism in Eukaryota, Metazoa, Echinodermata, Asteroidea, Forcipulatida, Asteriidae. The transcript is spliced from 4 exons. The record is from RefSeq and is a predicted model, not a curated record.